CACACGUUCUUCAACCACCAUAGCCCCAUUUUAAUAAAACCCUUACAAUCUGCAGUUCAUCUUGCCAUUCCAAAAGAAAUAAGAUCCGCAAUUCAUCUUAUCGUGGUCUACUCAUCCAUAGAAACCAUCGUCCUUAUUUGAGAAUUUAAGGUGCGAUCGAGGCUCGAGAGGCCUGGUCAAUCGGAGCUAUCAUCAUCAACCUUGGUCGACUAAAGGGGGCAGUGACCGCACCAUCAUCAACUAGGUUCAAUGCGUUCCAUGUACAUCGCUUAAAUUUAAAUCCAAUUGUUGCUUCCCAGAUUUGUGGCAUAAUUUUUGAUGAAUGGUAUGAUUGAUGUCAUGAUUUGGGAAAUGGAACAUUUGGAGAAGACGAACUCAAUUCUCCGGAGUUGAAGCACUAACUUCAAUUUGGUGAAACAAGAGCCAUUUGAUUCCGGUAAUUUUGAUAUUGACGAAGCCGAAGGAGCGAGAGAAGAAUGUUUAAUCAGCGACGAAGAAGAGUAAAAACAUCUCAAAUGAAACCAACAACGACAAGCUUCCAUACGUCCAUGUUCAUGCUCGGCGGGUCAAGCAACAGAUAGCCAUAGCUUAGCGGAACCAGUAACCAUCUUAGUCAACAUAAAAUUGGUGCAAUUAAUUAAGCUUAACUUAAUUACUGGUAUUUUUAUCCAAUUUUGGUAGGCAAUAGGAGAGAAGAUAAAUUCUUGACUGAAGCUUCAUACAAUUAUUACAAUUUUGUUGAACAUUAACUCUAACUUUGAGUUUGAUUAAACGUGGCUAUUGAUAUCGAGUUAGAGAUAUCUCCAGGGAGUGCAAUAUUCAAUCAUGCAAAAAGGUUCUACGGGAAGUGCGAAGUUUGUACUCUAUACCAGAAGCUUCAUUUGCCAAAGCUUGCAUCAUUAUAGAUAAGGGCAGGG
This is a long non-coding RNA of Helianthus annuus (common sunflower), 917 nucleotides long. RefSeq lists it as uncharacterized. The transcript has 3 exons. The record is from RefSeq and is a predicted model, not a curated record. Lineage: Eukaryota; Viridiplantae; Streptophyta; Magnoliopsida; Asterales; Asteraceae.